UAGGGAAUCUUCCACAAUGGACGCAAGUCUGAUGGAGCAACGCCGCGUGAGUGAAGAAGGUUUUCGGAUCGUAAAGCUCUGUUGUUGGUGAAGAAGGAUAGAGGCAGUAACUGGUCUUUAUUUGACGGUAAUCAACCAGAAAGUCACGGCUAACUACGUGCCAGCAGCCGCGGUAAUACGUAGGUGGCAAGCGUUGUCCGGAUUUAUUGGGCGUAAAGCGAGCGUAGGCGGAAUGAUAAGUCUGAUGUGAAAGCCCACGGCUCAACCGGGGAACUGCAUCGGAAACUGUAAUUCUUGAGUGCAGAAGAGGAGAGUGGAAUUCCAUGUGUAGCGGUGGAAUGCGUAGAUAUAUGGAAGAACACCAGUGGCGAAGGAGGCUCUCUGGUCUGCAACUGACGCUGAGGCUCGAAAGCAUGGGUAGCGAACAGG
This 429-nucleotide ribosomal RNA is filed under the name bacterium. Its description in RNAcentral is "partial 16S ribosomal RNA". It matches the Rfam family "Bacterial small subunit ribosomal RNA", at positions 355 to 776 of the family's 1533-position model. The record is from RNAcentral.